CCUACGGGAGGCAGCAGUGAGGAAUAUUGGUCAAUGGACGAGAGUCUGAACCAGCCAAGUAGCGUGAAGGAUGACUGCCCUAUGGGUUGUAAACUUCUUUUAUAAAGGAAUAAAACGAGGCACGUGUGCCUUGUGCAUGUACUUUAUGAAUCAGGAUCGGCUAACUCCGUGCCAGCAGCCGCGGUAAUACGGAGGAUCCGAGCGUUAUCCGGAUUUAUUGGGUUUAAAGGGAGUGUAGGCCGGUCUUUAAGCGUGCCGUGAAAGUUUGUGGCUCAACCAGGAGAGUGCGGCGCGAACUGGAGACCUGGAGUGCGCGGAAGGCAGGCGGAAUUCGUGGUGUAGCGGUGAAAUGCUUAGAUAUCACGAAGAACCCCGAUUGGGAAGGCAGCCUGCCGCAGCGUGACUGACGCUGAAGCUCGAAAGCGCGGGUAUCGAACAGGAUUAGAUACCCCUGUAGUC
This 459-nucleotide ribosomal RNA is filed under the name uncultured bacterium. RNAcentral's name for it is "partial 16S ribosomal RNA". It matches the Rfam family "Bacterial small subunit ribosomal RNA", at positions 338 to 795 of the family's 1533-position model. The record is from RNAcentral.